AUACAAAUACAAAUACAAAAUCAAAAUCAAAACAAAUAAAUAAAAAUUACAUUAAUUAAUUUAAAAAUUACAAAAUAGUCCCUAAAACUCCAGAAAUUGCAUUGAAGACCUUCUAGCGCCGCAGCAACACUGCUGGAACAGUGGCGGCGCGUCUUCCCACGCGCCGCCGUCACUGGCGGCGCGUGGGUUCACUCGCCGCCGACCAUGCUGGAAACGGGCGGAUCUGCCCUGUUUUCUCCUUCUCUUCCCCUCCCUGCCAGCUGUGGGGAACGCCUUCACCUGCAACACCAGAAAUACACACAACACAAUCGGUUUCAAUUUUUUCUUAAUUUUCUCAGAUUUUUUAGUUUCCUCCUCUGUGGCAGAUCUGGUUGUGAGGCGUCUUCGGUGCUGAUGGCUGUUGGAUCUCGGCGUGUGGGCCGCUGGCGAGGACGGCGCUGCUGCUGCUAGCGGUGGAGAUAGGAGCCGCUGUCGAAGGGAACCGAUCUGCGGUUCUGUUGUGCCACUGGGGGAGGAGCUGGAGCUGCUGUGGAGAUAUCACCGGAGAAGGCCGGUCUGUGGUUCUGGUGAUGACGGGGACGACUCUGUGGGCGCUGCUGUGCCCAACGGAGGGGAGCUUGUCUGGUGCGUGCAGCGGCCUGUGAUGGCUGCCGGUCGGUCGGCUAGAGAAGAAAAUCAGAACCAGGGGGGUUGUUUCGGAGGAAAGAGAUGAGUGUGGCUCAGCUAAUCUUGGUGAUGAUGAGAGGGAGAGGGGACGGUGAUGGCUAGCUUUGGCCGUGUGUGGGAAUGGGCGGCUGUUUUUGAGAAGGAGAGAGAGGGUGCAGUGGCGG
RNAcentral lists this long non-coding RNA (830 nucleotides) under Populus tremula. RNAcentral's name for it is "long non-coding RNA (PTRE_LNC001731)". Lineage: Eukaryota; Viridiplantae; Streptophyta; Magnoliopsida; Malpighiales; Salicaceae. The record is from RNAcentral.